This 450-nucleotide ribosomal RNA is filed under the name uncultured bacterium. Its description in RNAcentral is "partial 16S ribosomal RNA". It matches the Rfam family "Bacterial small subunit ribosomal RNA", at positions 354 to 796 of the family's 1533-position model. The record is from RNAcentral.
GUGGGGAAUUUUGGACAAUGGGGGCAACCCUGAUCCAGCCAUUCCGCGUGAGUGAAGAAGGCCUUCGGGUUGUAAAGCUCUUUCGGCAGGAACGAAACGGUGAGCUCUAACAUAGCUCGCUAAUGACGGUACCUGAAGAAGAAGCACCGGCUAACUACGUGCCAGCAGCCGCGGUAAUACGUAGGGUGCGAGCGUUAAUCGGAAUUACUGGGCGUAAAGCGUGCGCAGGCGGUUGUGUAAGACAGGUGUGAAAUCCCCGGGCUUAACCUGGGAACUGCGCUUGUGACUGCACGGCUAGAGUAUGGCAGAGGGGGGUGGAAUUCCACGUGUAGCAGUGAAAUGCGUAGAGAUGUGGAGGAACACCGAUGGCGAAGGCAGCCCCCUGGGCCAAUACUGACGCUCAUGCACGAAAGCGUGGGGAGCAAACAGGAUUAGAUACCCCUGUAGUCC